GAGUGUACGGAGGCAAGGAGUGUCAAGUAUAGGAGUAGGUGAUGAAAGAGAUAAUAGAAGUAGUGUUGUGUAGGAGUCAUGACUAAGAGAGAUAAGGUGAGGGGCAAAGAUGAGCCUGAGGUUCGAUAGGAUGGUGGGCUUGAUGAGGUCGAGGGUGUUAUAGCUAGUUGAGGCCAUGCUUGAUUUGAUAGAGCUGAUGCUCAAAGAUCUUAAUCCUGUGACGAAUAAGGGAGACAUGUUUGGAGAUGACAUAAAGAUUUUUAUGGCUAUCGACAGGGGAAGGGGAAUAAAGGGUAAAGAGGUUAGUGAAGACAAGAAAGAUGAUGAAGGGCGAAGAAGUUGAGCAACGCAUAGUAGGUGGUUCCUUUAUCAAUCUUGAAGAAAAUGCAUGAAGCCUAGCCAUCA
Molecule: long non-coding RNA, 405 nt
Filed under: Elaeis guineensis (African oil palm)
Lineage: Eukaryota; Viridiplantae; Streptophyta; Magnoliopsida; Arecales; Arecaceae
Description: long non-coding RNA (EGUI_LNC064461)
Source: RNAcentral